AGUGAACGCUGGCGGUAGGCCUAACACAUGCAAGUCGAACGGCAGCACAGUAAGAGCUUGCUCUUACGGGUGGCGAGUGGCGGACGGGUGAGGAAUACAUCGGAAUCUACUUUUUCGUGGGGGAUAACGUAGGGAAACUUACGCUAAUACCGCAUACGACCUACGGGUGAAAGCAGGGGAUCUUCGGACCUUGCGCGAUUGAAUGAGCCGAUGUCGGAUUAGCUAGUUGGCGGGGUAAAGGCCCACCAAGGCGACGAUCCGUAGCUGGUCUGAGAGGAUGAUCAGCCACACUGUAACUGAGACACGGUCCAGACUACUACGGGAGGCACCAGUGGGGAAUAUGGGACAAUGGGCUCAAGCCUGAUCCAGCCAUACCGCGUGGGUGAAGAAGGCGUUCGGGUGGUAAAGCCCUUUUGUUGGGAAAGAAAAGCAGCAGGUUAAUACCCCGCUGUUCUGACGGUACCCAAAGAAUAAGCCCCGGCUAACUUCGUG
RNAcentral lists this ribosomal RNA (492 nucleotides) under uncultured bacterium. Its description in RNAcentral is "partial 16S ribosomal RNA". It matches the Rfam family "Bacterial small subunit ribosomal RNA", at positions 29 to 507 of the family's 1533-position model. The record is from RNAcentral.